UACAGAGGCCCCGAGCGUUACCCGGAAUCACUGGGCGUAAAGGGUGUCCAGGCGGCCAUGUUAGUCGUUCGUAAAAUCCGUGAGCUUAACUUACGGUCCGCGAGCGAAACGGCAUGGCUAGAGAGCGCGAGAGGUACAGGGAACUCAUGGUGGAGGGGUGACAUCCGUUGAUAUCAUGGGGAACACCAAAGGCGAAGGCACUGUACUGGCGCGUUUCUGACGCUCACCCACGAAAGCCAGGGGAGCGAACGGG
RNAcentral lists this ribosomal RNA (253 nucleotides) under uncultured bacterium. RNAcentral describes it as "partial 16S ribosomal RNA". It matches the Rfam family "Bacterial small subunit ribosomal RNA", at positions 524 to 776 of the family's 1533-position model. The record is from RNAcentral.